RNAcentral lists this ribosomal RNA (497 nucleotides) under uncultured bacterium. RNAcentral describes it as "partial 16S ribosomal RNA". It matches the Rfam family "Bacterial small subunit ribosomal RNA", at positions 28 to 507 of the family's 1533-position model. The record is from RNAcentral.
GAUGAACGCUGGCGGCGUGCCUAAUACAUGCAAGUCGAGCGAACGGACGAGAAGCUUGCUUCUCUGAUGUUAGCGGCGAACGGGUGAGUAACACGUGGAUAACCUACCUAUAAGACUGGGAUAACUUCGGGAAACCGGAGCUAAUACCGCAUAACAUUUUGAACCACAUGGUUCAAAAGUGAAAGACGGUCUUGCUGUCACUUAUAGAUGGAUCCGCGCUGCAUUAGCUAGUUGGCAAGGUAACGGCUUACCAAGGCAACGAUGAAUAGCCGACCUGAGAGGGGGAUCGGCAACACUGGAACUGGGAAACGGUCCAGACUCCUACGGGAGGCAGCAGUAGGGAAUCUUCGGCAAUGGGCGAAAGCCUGACGGAGCAACGCCGCGUGGUUGAGGAAGGUCUUCGGAUCGUAAAACUCUGUGAUUAGGGAAGAACAUAUGUGUAAGUAACUGUGCACAUCGUGACGGUACCUUAUCAGAAAGCCACGGCUAACUACGUG